RNAcentral lists this ribosomal RNA (359 nucleotides) under uncultured Rhodococcus sp. Its description in RNAcentral is "bacterial SSU rRNA". It matches the Rfam family "Bacterial small subunit ribosomal RNA", at positions 1025 to 1382 of the family's 1533-position model. Lineage: Bacteria; Bacillati; Actinomycetota; Actinomycetes; Mycobacteriales; Nocardiaceae. The record is from RNAcentral.
GGUCGGUAUACAGGUGGUGCAUGGCUGUCGUCAGCUCGUGUCGUGAGAUGUUGGGUUAAGUUCCGCAACGAGCGCAACCCCUAUCUUAUGUUGCCAGCACGUUAUGGUGGGGACUCGUAAGAGACUGCCGGGGUCAACUCGGAGGAAGGUGGGGACGACGUCAAGUCAUCAUGCCCCUUAUGUCCAGGGCUUCACACAUGCUACAAUGGCCAGUACAGAGGGCUGCGAGACCGUGAGGUGGAGCGAAUCCCUUAAAGCUGGUCUCAGUUCGGAUCGGGGUCUGCAACUCGACCCCGUGAAGUCGGAGUCGCUAGUAAUCGCAGAUCAGCAACGCUGCGGUGAAUACGUUCCCGGGCCUU